Long non-coding RNA from Leopardus geoffroyi (Geoffroy's cat), 921 nucleotides. RefSeq lists it as uncharacterized. The record is from RefSeq and is a predicted model, not a curated record. The transcript has 3 exons. Lineage: Eukaryota; Metazoa; Chordata; Mammalia; Carnivora; Felidae.
GUGGGCCCUACUAUGUACUAGCAACGUUCCAGUGUUUGGAUACAUAACACCAGUGAAUAUAAAACAAAGAUCCUUGCUCCAGUGGAGCUUACAUUCUAGUAGGAGAAGACAAAUAAUAAUCAAUAAACAUAAUAAGUAAAGUGUAUAGUAUGUCAGAGGGUGGUAAGUAUAAUGGAAAAAAACAGAAGGGAGAUCAGGAGUGCCAUAGGACUUCAGGAAAAGUUAAGGUUUUUAAAAGGGUAGUGAGAGUACAUCUCAUUGAGAAGAGACAUUUGAGCAAAGACUUAAAGGAGGAGAUGAGUUAGCCGUAGGGAUAUCUGGGGGAAGAGCACUCCAGUAAAGAGAAUAGGCAGUGCCAAAUCCUUACGACCAGAGCAUCCUGGAGGAGUCCCAGGAAAAGUAAGGAUGGCACUGUAGCUGGAGUAGAAUGAACAAGGAGUAAAGUAGGAGAUGAGGUUACAAAGUGGAGGGUGAAGACUUCACUACAUAGGAUCUUAUAAAGAUUUUGGCGUGUAGUAGUUGUGGAAUGAGAAGCCAAUGGAAGGUUUGAGCAAAGGAGUGACCGGGUCUGAUUUUCCAAUCUGCUGGGAGAAGAAGAGACUGUGGACAGAACAGAGUGGAAGGAGACCAGUCAGGAGGCCACUGUAGUAAUCCAGAUGAGAAAACUGCAGUGGGUGCGUAAGUAAUCUGCCAGAGGUCAAGUAAAUAGGAGACCCCAAGGAAGAACCUUGCACUUACCACCAUGUAGGGACACAGAGAAAAGAUGGCUGUCCAUGAAACAUGAAGCAGGUCCUCACCAGACACCAAAUCUGCUGGUACCUUGACCCUGCACUUCUCCACGUCCAGAAUUGUGAGAAAUAACAGUUUGUGGGGCGCCUGAGUGGCUCAGUUGGUUAAGCGUCCGACUUCGGGUCAGUUUGU